GCGACAUAUUGGAUGAUCUAGCCAUGCGAGUCUUUGUAGUAUACAAGGCAGACGGCUCAGUAACGCGUCCCUUUAUAACCCUAUGGACGGGAAUAACCUCGGGAAACUGAUCUUUAUAACCGAUAGAACAUUAUGCCUGGAAUGAUUUAUGUUCCAAAUGAUUUAUCGCCGUAGGAUGAGACUGCUCCCUAUCAGUUUGUUGGUGAGGUAAUGGCCCACCAAGACUAUUACAGGUACGGGCUCUGAUAGGAGUGGCCCGGAGAUGAGUACUGAUACACGGACCCAGGCCCUAUGGGGCGCAGCAGGCGAGAAAACUUUGCAAUAUGCGAAAGCACGACGAGGUUAAUCCGAGUGGUUUCUGCUAUAGAGACCUUUUGUCGGGUCUACAAACACCGAUGAAUAAAGUGUGAGUUUUGUUCUGAUGUCAGCCGCCGCGGUAAAACCAGCACCUUAAGUGGGCAUGAUGAUUUUUGGGCCUAAAGCAUCCCGUAGCGGCUGUGUUAGUUUGUCCGUAAUUCUGGACGCUCAACGUACAGGCUGCCGGGAAUACUGCCAAGCUGGGGGGUGGGAGAAGUAUACCGUACUCCGUAGGAAGGGGAAAAAUCCUUUGAUCUAUUGAGGACCCCCCGGGGGCGAAGGGGGCUAACAGAAAAAGUUCCCAAGGGAGGGAAGAAAGAGGGGGGAAAAAAACCCGAUUAAAUACCCUGGCUGGUCCCACUGUAAACCCUGGAAAAUCCCGGGAUGGAAUUUGUUGGUGGCCAAUGCAUUGGUUACAGGGAAACCGUUUAAAUUGCCCGGCUGGGAAAGUAUGUUCGCAAGUAUAAAAA
This 827-nucleotide ribosomal RNA is filed under the name uncultured archaeon. Its description in RNAcentral is "bacterial SSU rRNA". It matches the Rfam family "Archaeal small subunit ribosomal RNA", at positions 26 to 855 of the family's 1478-position model. The record is from RNAcentral.